CAGCACCGCGGUAAUACGUAGGUGGCAAGCGUUGUCCGGAAUUAUUGGGCGUAAAGGGCUCGCAGGCGGUUUCUUAAGUCUGAUGUGAAAGCCCCCGGCUCAACCGGGGAGGGUCAUUGGAAACUGGGAAACUUGAGUGCAGAAGAGGAGAGUGGAAUUCCACGUGUAGCGGUGAAAUGCGUAGAGAUGUGGAGGAACACCAGUGGCGAAGGCGACUCUCUGGUCUGUAACUGACGCUGAGGAGCGAAAGCGUGGGGAGCGAACAGGAUUAGAGACCCGUGUAGUCCCUGUCUCUUAUACA
This 301-nucleotide ribosomal RNA is filed under the name uncultured bacterium. Its description in RNAcentral is "partial 16S ribosomal RNA". It matches the Rfam family "Bacterial small subunit ribosomal RNA", at positions 509 to 808 of the family's 1533-position model. The record is from RNAcentral.